UGGAGACGUAGUGGUGAGUAGAU
This 23-nucleotide non-coding RNA is filed under the name Cricetulus griseus (Chinese hamster). The record is from RNAcentral. Lineage: Eukaryota; Metazoa; Chordata; Mammalia; Rodentia; Cricetidae.